AACGAACGCUGGCGGCAUGCCCAACACAUGCAAGUCGAACGAGACCUUCGGGUCUAGUGGCGCACGGGUGCGUAACGCGUGGGAACCUGCCCUUAGGUUCGGAAUAACUCCCCGAAAGGGGUGCUAAUACCGGAUAAUGUCUUCGGACCAAAGAUUUAUCGCCUUUGGAUGGGCCCGCGUUGGAUUAGCUAGUUGGUAGGGUAAAAGCCUACCAAGGCGACGAUCCAUAGCUGGUCUGAGAGGAUGAUCAGCCACACUGGGACUGAGACACGGCCCAGACUCCUACGGGAGGCAGCAGUGGGGAAUAUUGGACAAUGGGCGAAAGCCUGAUCCAGCAAUGCCGCGUGAGUGAUGAAGGCCUUAGGGUUGUAAAGCUCUUUUACCCGGGAUGAUAAUGACAGUACCGGGAGAAUAAGCGCCGGCUAACUCCGUG
This 433-nucleotide ribosomal RNA is filed under the name uncultured bacterium. Its description in RNAcentral is "partial 16S ribosomal RNA". It matches the Rfam family "Bacterial small subunit ribosomal RNA", at positions 29 to 507 of the family's 1533-position model. The record is from RNAcentral.